GGAUCCAGACUUUCAUUCUGGCUCAGGACGAACGCUGGCGGCGCGCCUAACACAUGCAAGUCGAACGAGAGAUGAGGAGCUUGCUCUUCAAAUCGAGUGGCGAACGGGUGAGUAACGCGUGAGGAACCUGCCUCAAAGAGGGGGACAACAGUUGGAAACGACUGCUAAUACCGCAUAAGCCCACGGCUCGGCAUCGAGCAGAGGGAAAAGGAGCAAUCCGCUUUGAGAUGGCCUCGCGUCCGAUUAGCUAGUUGGUGAGGUAACGGCCCACCAAGGCGACGAUCGGUAGCCGGACUGAGAGGUUGAACGGCCACAUUGGGACUGAGACACGGCCCAGACUCCUACGGGAGGCAGCAGUGGGGAAUAUUGCACAAUGGGGGAAACCCUGAUGCAGCGACGCCGCGUGGAGGAAGAAGGUCUUCGGAUUGUAAACUCCUGUUGUUGAGGAAGAUAAUGACGGUACUCAACAAGGAAGUGACGGCUAACUACGUGCCAGCAGCCGCGGUAAAACGUAGGUCACAAGCGUUGUCCGGAAUUACUGGGUGUAAAGGGAGCGCAGGCGGGAGAACAAGUUGGAAGUGAAAUCCAUGGGCUCAACCCAUGAACUGCUUUCAAAACUGUUUUUCUUGAGUAGUGCAGGGGUAGGCGGAAUUCCCGGUGUAGCGGUGGAAUGCGUAGAUAUCGGGAGGAACACCAGUGGCGAAGGCGGCCUACUGGGCACCAACUGACGCUGAGGCUCGAAAGUGUGGGUAGCAAACAGGAUUAGAUACCCUGGUAGUCCACACCGUA
This 789-nucleotide ribosomal RNA is filed under the name uncultured bacterium. Its description in RNAcentral is "bacterial SSU rRNA". It matches the Rfam family "Bacterial small subunit ribosomal RNA", at positions 1 to 804 of the family's 1533-position model. The record is from RNAcentral.